CGGGGGGGCAAGCGUUGUUCGGAAUUACUGGGCGUAAAGGGCUCGUAGGCGGCCAACUAAGUCAAACGUGAAAUCCCUCGGCUUAACCGGGGAACUGCGCUUGAUACUGGAUGGCUUGAGAUUGGGAGAGGGAUGCGGAAUUCCAGGUGUAGCGGUGAAAUGCGUAAAUAUCUGGAGGAACACCGGUGGCGAAGGCGGCAUCCUGGACCAACACUGACGCUGAGUGAGCGAAAGCCAGGGGAGCAAACGGGAUUAGAUACCCCGGUAGUCCUGGCCCUAAACGAUGAAUGCUUGGUGUGGCGGGUAUCGAUCCCUGCCGUGCCGAAGCUAACGCAUUAAGCAUUCCGCCUGGGGAGUACGGUCGCAAGGCUG
RNAcentral lists this ribosomal RNA (372 nucleotides) under uncultured organism. RNAcentral's name for it is "bacterial SSU rRNA". It matches the Rfam family "Bacterial small subunit ribosomal RNA", at positions 527 to 896 of the family's 1533-position model. The record is from RNAcentral.